GACGAACGCUGGCGGCGUGCUUAACACAUGCAAGUCGAACGGAAAGGCACUGCGCUUGCGGCGUUCUCGAGUGGCGAACGCGUGAGUAACACGUGAGUAACCUCCCCUUGACUUUGGGGUAACUCCAGGAAACUCGGGCUAAUACCGGAUAGGAUCUCCUGCUGCAUGGUGGUGGUUGGAAAGUUUCGGCUGUGGGGGCUGGACUCGCGGCUUAUCAGCUGGUUGGUGGGGUAGUGGCUUACAAAGGGUUUGACGGGUAGCCGGCAUGAGAGGGUGGCCGGCCACCUGGGGACUGCGGUACGGACCAGAAUCCUACGGGACGCAGCAGUGGGGAAUAUUGCACAGUGGGCGGAAGCCUGAUGCAGCAACGCCGCGUGCGGGAUGACGGCCUUCGGGUUGUAAACAGCCUUCGAAUGUGACGAAGCGUGAGUGACGGUAAUGGGUAAAGAAGCACCGGCUAACUACGUG
RNAcentral lists this ribosomal RNA (468 nucleotides) under uncultured bacterium. Its description in RNAcentral is "partial 16S ribosomal RNA". It matches the Rfam family "Bacterial small subunit ribosomal RNA", at positions 28 to 507 of the family's 1533-position model. The record is from RNAcentral.